ACGGUCCUUUCGAGGCGGUGCGGAUGAAAAGGGAACCAGGUGAGAGUCCUGGACAGUCCCGCUGCUGUAAGUUCCAUGUCAGGUGUUGCCCUAUUCGUUGGCCACUGGCUUCCUCUACGGAAGCUGGGAAGGCGAGGGCAGCCGGAACAAGUCAGAAGACCUGCCAUGCCUUG
RNAcentral lists this non-coding RNA (173 nucleotides) under uncultured Phocaeicola sp. Lineage: Bacteria; Pseudomonadati; Bacteroidota; Bacteroidia; Bacteroidales; Bacteroidaceae. The record is from RNAcentral.